Molecule: long non-coding RNA, 10762 nt
Filed under: Lathyrus oleraceus (garden pea)
Lineage: Eukaryota; Viridiplantae; Streptophyta; Magnoliopsida; Fabales; Fabaceae
Description: Pisum sativum (pea) long non-coding RNA (PSAT_LNC030524)
Source: RNAcentral
AUGAAUAUACAUUCAAACGUGGAAAAGUAAAGAAAAAAUAACCGACCCUCUGAAACUUUGCACGACGUUGAUGAUGAACUACGAGGGAGAGGCGUGGUGGAUGACGUGCGGUUCCAAAGCGUAUUGGAUUUCGAUCUUGCGGAUCUGAAUGAAAGUGGUGUGAUUUCGACGGAUCCGGUUGUUUGUAGUUUUGUGUUCAACGCGCAUUCCAAUUUCCUUCUUUCUUCUUCUUAAAUUUUGGUUCAGUUUUUUAUUGUUUAGGUGCUAUUAUUCUUGUGUUGAUGUUGAAAAAUGAAAUGUGGUGAUUAUGGUGAGGUGAAAGGAGUGGACAUGAGUGUGUUUAUGGUGGGAUGUGGUUGCUGUUUGAAGAGAGGUUUGGGUGAGUGAAAAUGGAAGAGAGCAAAGUGGAUGGUGGUUCAUAUGGAGUUUUUUAGUGGUUGAAUCAAUAUUUUUUGGUGUGAGGUGUUGUUUUAAGAUGGGUCAUAGAACCUUUUUUUAUUUCAGAUGAUGAUGGUGGACGCGCAGAGCACAAAGUGUGAAAUAAAAUGAGUUUUAGUGUAUAGAUCCAAAUGCUCUUUUUCUCUGUUAGUUUUCCAUGCCUGUUUUUUUUUAUAUUUUUUAUGUGUUUUCAAAAUCAACCAAUAAGAGGUACUUAAUGAAAUUGGCAUGCAGAUGUGUAUUCUUGGAUUGGUUUAGCAUUGUUUGUUUUUUUCCAAAUUUGUAGGAACCACUUCUUCUUAGGAAAAAGAGGGUUUAGUUAUUAGUUAUUUAGUUAGAAAGUAGGAUUACAAAUUAAUCAUCCUUCUUAAAUAUUUUUAAUGAUUAAAAACAAGGUUAAACAAAAUAAAUGAAAUAAAUUUUAAGAUUAUAAACUAAAAAACAUAAAAUUAAAAUGAACAUAUAGCUAAUUCUAUUUAAUUUUUGUGAAUAUUAUGACUAAAAUAAAUAAGUAAAAUGACUCAAAGCGAAUAAAAGUUGGACGCGAAAAUGCCUGAAAAGUUAAAAUGAAAUGUACUACAAUGAUUGGCGCGAAAUAAUUUUCUCGGAAAUAUAAAGCGUUUGAGCCAAUUUUGAAAUGAAAAAUGACCGGUUAAAUUCUCAGACGGACCAAAAUGUGACCGAAAAAUUAGUCGAAAAAUAAAUUGAGCACGCCAGGUUAAUCUACGUGAAACGUAGAUUAAUAAAACUGAUGUCUUCAAGUUUGAUUUUGAAACUUUUUCGCCCGCUGUUUUGACACACAUUUGAUAAUUGAUUCAAUCGAUUUGUCUGUAAAUCCGAAAAUUUAUUUCGAUUGACAUUCUAGGCAUUAUGCGGUAUGGAAUGCAUUUUAUGAUAUGCAAAGAUGCAACGACUAUGACGGAUGUGUUAAAUUGGUGAUUCAGGAUCAAAAUUAGGGUGUGACAAUUACCCCUAUUUAAGUAUAUUCAACUAGAGAGUAUGACACAGUACACUCUUCAUAUGAUCAUAGUGGAAUAUAUUUAAAAACUAAGAAGACUCGGAUUUUGACCAAGCAUGCACAUGGCAUUGUAUGAUAUGUUAUGAAUGGGCGCGGGACUCUCUUUUAUUUUUAUUUACUAGUGUAUGAUAUGAGAUGAACCAUAACUAGAUAUUUUUUGAUGGAUGGAGAAUGACAAAUGGGCAUGUGGGGAAUGAUGGAGACAUGUUGUAACGGUGUCCCACAGAAAACAAAAAUGAAGGUGAAAACUUGUCGGGAUAACAAUCCUGCUGGAGGAAAGACAACUGGGGAAUAUGCAAAGAGAUUUUAACCACAAGUUCGUACAUGACCUGACAACACCAGAAUAUUCAAAGAAUUUUCAACAUAAGUUCAAACAUGAUCUGAAAACACUUGAAUAUUCAAAGAGUGCUCAACUAACAGGUUCAAACAUGAUCCGUCAGCAUUAGGGAACAUACAAAGAAGGUUUGAACAACAGGUUCAGACAUGACCUGAUGACAACUCGAAUAUCAAGGAAAGUUUAGUCAACAGGUUCAUACAUGACCUAACAACACUGAAAAAAAUCAAAUAAUUUCAUCAAAGGGUUCAUACUCGACCUGACAAUUGGAAUAAAGAGUUUCAAUAAUAGGUUCAAACAUGACUUGACAAUGUUGGGGGAUAUCAAAAGGUUCCAUAAACAGGUUCAAACAUGACCUGACAAUACUAGAAAACAUACAAAGAAAAUUCCAUCAAUAGGCUCAUACAUGACCUGACAACAUUGGAAAAUUCAUAGCGUUUCAACAACAGGUUCAGACAUGACCUGAUAAUAUUAUAAAACCAAGGAUGUUUAAUCAAUAGGUUCAUAUGUGACCUCAACAUUUGGAUAUUAAAAUAAAGUUUCACUCACAGGUUCAGACAUGACCUGACGACACUUGGGAAAAAUCAAAGGGAGUUUUAUCAACAGGUUCAUACAUGACCUGACGACACUGGAAAAUUCAAAGAAAGUAUAUCCACGGGUUCAUGCAUGACCUGGCAAUUCUGGAGGAUUCACAGAGGUUAUAACAACAUAUUCAUACGUGAGCUCACAACACUAGAAAACCCAAACAAAACUUCAACAACGGGUUCAUACAGGACCUAACAAUAUUGGAAAACAUACAAAGCAAGUUUCAUCAAUAGGUUUAUACAUGACCUGACACUUUAGAAUACAUCUGACAAUUAUGGAGAUUUCUCACAAGAAAAUCAUCCGAUCAAAGACUUUGGAGAUUCCUAACAGGGAAUUUUUACAAAACAAAGAUAAACAUGAGUCUUCUUAUAAGUAGAUCAUCCAUGCAAAAGGCUACGAUGAUUCUUUACAAAGAAAUCAAACAAAACCAAUAUCAUUGGAGUUUUCUAACAUGAAAAUCUCCAAGCUUCUGGGAAUUCCUCAAGAUGAUGAGUCAUACAUGACUUUCACGGAACCAUCAGGAAAGACAUGGUAAUCAAACUCUCUAUACGACCCAACAACAAUUGGACUUUGACCGUAAGCAGUGGAUUACAACCAGCUUUUAAUGGAUAGGUGCCAACAACAAUUGGACUUUCACUAUAAGCAAUGGAUUACAACCAACUUUUAAUGGAUUUUUCCAACAAUAAUUGGACUUUGACCAUAAGCAAUGGAUUACAACCAACUUUUAGUGGAUCUUGGCAACAACAAUUGGACUUGACCGAGGGUAUUAGUAAAACAAUUACCAUCUACAACGAAGUUUUCCAGCAACAACUGCACUUGAAAUGAUGUUGGCGACAACCAAACUUCAGAUACCAAUUACGAUUGUAUUUACAAACAGAGUAACAAUGAUGCCAACGAAAAUUGGGUUUAAAAUGAGUUCUAGUGACCACUGAGCUUGGAAUAAUGCCUAGUAACAACUGAAUUUUAGGAGACACCAAUAAGUCUUGAAACAAUGCCAAGGAAUGGCAUCGAGGUUCUGGAAGGGCGUCAGAACAAAAAUGACAUGUCAAGGAAUUCAUCGGAGAGUAAAAGAAACGAAUUCUGGAAAUACAUCAGAAUUACAAGUGAUAUUCUGGAAAUACAUCAGAAUUCAGACACAUCCGGUAAUACAUCGAGGAAAUUCUGGAAAUACAUCAGAAUACAAGACAGACAUAUUUGAGAAUACAUCAAAUAGGUGAGAAAACAUCUGGAAAUAUAUCAUAUAAGUUAUGGAAAUACAUCAGUAAAUAAAGGAGUAAUCCGAAAAUUCAUCGGAUAAUCCCAAAAGGAAUUGAACCUCAUGGACAAAAAUUUUGAUAGGUGCCAACUGAGUUGGACUUGAAAAUGACUACAAAAACCGGAUGAUGGUUUAAGGGCACCAAAGAAAAAAUGGAAUUAGAGGUCAAAGAAUCCACAACAAGACCUGGGUCAAUGCAAAAUGAGCACGAAGUACAUUUCGGUUAUGCAUGAUUUGAAUUUUUUUUAUACAUGAUAUAUGAAUGAUCAUGAUAUGAAAAUGUUGACACUUGAGUGGACCGGGAGUUUGUAAAGGCUUUUAUGGACGUUAUGAUUCCUUAACACCGAGAACUCAACCAAAUAUUUUGUGAUAGAUGUUGUCAAAGGAGAAUUCUAUCAAGUUUGAUAGCCAUAACUUAGCCAAUGGGAUCCUUUUGAAGGAUUAAUGAAUCCUGCUAGCAUAAGUUUCGGGCACUCGUCUUAAACUCAAUAGUUGUUAACGUAUGGCAGAAUUUGUUUGAGCAUUUUAAAAGCAUGAAGAAAGAGGUUAUGCCCCUAUGUGGCUCAUCUUGCCCCAAUAUGUUGGGUGUUUGAAAAUGUUCACCUUGAAAGUGAGUUUGAGACAGCUUGACAUGAGACGAUAUCAAGAUGGCUUGCCCCAAUGUUUGAAUACCGCAAUGAUCUAACCCUGACUAACCAAAACCUGGAAUGGUAGACUUCUGAUUGUAUGUCCUUAGAUAGUUGGACUCAAUGAGCUUCUGAGGUGGCUUGCCCCAGUCUGAGUCUUGAAGCAAAUUACUCUUGGCUAACUGAGCAUUUGGGUGAUUGGCUCGGAUUGACUGAUACUCAAAGUAAUUUCCCCUGACUGGACUUCUUUCACUUUAUCAAGUUCCUCAAUUAUAUAUUGUUGGAAUUUCUUUGAUGUUGGGUGUUGACUUGCAAAUAAGAUUGUUCAUUCAAAAAAAUGGUAAUUUUAAUGCAGUUCUUAUGCAAAAAUUUGAAAUCAAAAUUUAUUGAUAUGAACGGGUGAUGUAGUGAACGGGUCACUGAUAAGAACACAAUGAUGAUCUAGUCAUUCAUAGUAUGCAAGUUGGUGCAAUCAAAUGAUUAACAAAAAUCGUUUGGAGUCAGGUUAACACAACCUUGUUGUAGUAUGCUUUCAGAAUAAACUGUAUCUCAAUUAGGUCUUUUAAGGUUGUAACAUGGGCUGGUUCACGUUUUUUUUUAAAUAAAGGGAUAUAAGGCUCAAAUUUAAUUUUAACCCACCCCUUCUUCUUAAUGAUCUCCAGUUCCUACAUUCAGUUAAUUCGAUACACGCAUUCGACUUCGAAGGCGUGAUGGUGAAGAUGAGGAUUCAAUAUGAGAUUUUCUUGAAAUGACAGUCACCUUAUUUUAUUUUUGUUGAGGAUUUAGUGACCUCUUUUGAUUGAUUUUUUUUAUAUCCCUAAUUUUUACCUGGACCACUUCUUUCAAGCCUUUGGUCCACCGGGAUGCCUUAAUUUUUUCCUAAGUCGUUUUUUAUGGUGUUUGACUUAGCGGGAUUUUCUUUAUUUUUUGAAAAAUUAUGAUUGACAUGUUAUUGGUGGAUGAGGAAGAACCACUACAAUUUUUUUUUUAUUAGCUUCUAUGACACUUCAAGAUGUGUGUGAAGAAUAGCAUGUGGUUGAACCUCUUUGGAGGAUGUGUAGAGAUGGACGAAUUCUCUUGAAAAUUGAAUGCAUAUUCAAACUAUCUAGACACAACUACCCUGCCCCAUGUUAAUAUUAAGGGUUUUAGAUCUGAAAGAAACACCAUCUUCUAGGCUCAAAGUGGUUGACUAGGGAUUAACUCCUUAUCUCUUCAGUGUUUGGGGAUUUGAAACAAUGCCUUACAUCAUUGACAAGGUUUUCUUCAAAAGCAUACCACAACAAUUUUAGGUGUUUCAUUUUCAUCAUCCUCCUUCCAAUCUUUGUUAACACAAUAGUUUGAUUAAUAAAAGUGAAUGAGAGAAGUAUUUUUAUUUUUAACAUAAAUUAAAAAUGAGGGAAUAUGAAUGGAUUAAUUCAAAAGAUGCAUAAACAUUUAAUUAAUCUUACCAAUUCAAAGAAAACAACAAUGCUUAAAAGCAACUAACAAACAACAUGCAAGGAAAUUACAAAAGAAAUGCAGAAACAACCAAGUGAUUGCCAACUUUAGGGAAUUGACUUCUUCAAACUUGAUCCAUUAACUUCGGGAGACACCCUUUGAGGUCUUCGCACUUAUCCAGGCGAUAGGUUAACGUUCACCACCAAGCUUCCCUUUGAAAGGCUAUGUACCUGUUGUCAACCAACUGUUGUACUUUGGCUUUGAAAGCGUUGUAGUCUUCAGUUGAAUGCCCUUCUGAUCUAGAAUGAUAUCUAUAUUGCACAUUUGGGUCAUACUCGGGUGGUUAAGGUUGUGGAACCGGCUUAAGAUACUUGGGAACCACCAACGAGUUUUGAAUCAGAGGCUAUAGAAUUUGGCUAUAUGUCACGAGGAUUGGAUAACGAGGAGCAUUUCUUCUUUCCCAAUUAUUUCGAGGCCUAAGCUGAUUUUGAUGUUGAUUUCGAUUUCUAGGGCCUUGGGCUCGUUGAUUUGGAUGAGGAGUAAACCAUGAUUGUUGGUAUUGAAGAUCAAAAGGUAGUGGUUGCUGGUAUGACACUUUGGGCAUUGCUAACUACUUAUUUUCAACCACUUGAAGGUUGAGAUCAAUAAGCUUUUUGACAUUGGCACGACGAUCUUAAAAUUCUUUUCCUUCAAUAUCAUUGUUGGACGCAACCCUCUUGGAUCCACUACUCACUUCUCAUUUGCUUCCAUUGACAUGGAUCAUGACAUUGGAAAUCCAAGGCGAUAUCUGAAUGCUCUUAUCGAGAAAUGAUAAUAUCUCGUUAGCCAUAUCUCUGACCUCUUCCUUGUGGUAUAAAACCAUAAGGGAUUUCAGGGAUCCUUUGCCUUUCUCAUUACUUGGCCCAGAAAUCAAGAUAUAUGUACCUGAGCCUUCCUCCUUCAAUGCUUCUUGAAUUUUCCUUAGACAUGGUUCUUUGUUCUAAACGCGUGUCGGGAAUCACUUUGUUGAUCAUGGACAAAGGAUUGAUGAUUUUUUUGUAUUUUGUCUGGAAAAUGGCAUGCAUUCUGAUGAGAUACAGAUGCAACAGAAUGUGAAUGAAUGCAAUGCAAUCCAUGUAUAUUUGUUUUUUUUCAAUACACAGGUUAAAAAGUCCUAGGUACUGAUGAAUCUGAUUACUUUCCAAGAAUAGGUUCUCACCGGGUAUGAUCUAGGGUUACAAAGGUUCCUAGAGUCAUGGAUCCACAAGACUGUUUGCUGCAUGCGGCAACUUACUUGUCAGGCGUCAACUCCAUCCAAAGAAUCUACUCUAACUGAGGUUCUCGUAUCGAUCCAAUGAGAAAUUCCUCUCGCAGACCCACACUAUGCAACCAUCUUUCCUAGUUGGCCAAAUGAUUAAGGUUCUACAAAUGGUCCUUAGAGUCAUAGACCCUGAUGAAAAUAUCGAAGCUUACGACAACUUACUUGUCGGGCAACAACAUCCUCUAAAGGAUUUACUCUAAGUGAGGUUCUCGUACUGACCCAACGACAAAUUCAUCUCGCGGACCUGCAUUAGUCAACCUCGUCCUAUCUUAUGUUUUUACUCGAGACUCGGGUAGAGAGUCUUUCCCACAAGGUUUGUAAGCAGAGUAUCCAAGUACCAAAGCAUAAUGGAACCAAUACAACAGAUUAUAUCAAUAUGAUGAUAAAGAUAGCAAAAGAAAUAAAGAAAAGCCACACUAGUACACAAACAAAGGCACACAAACGACCUAACUAGGCUUGACUCACUUAGGGAAAUCGUAUUCUCCAGUAGAGUCGCCAUCUGUCGUACCUCAAAAAAUGAGAACAUGACCUAGCGAAGCGCAAUCGCACGCUCGCAAUGAUGGACUGAACAGAGUCGCCACUAGGCAUGGCAACGGGGCGGGUCGGGGACGGUUUUUACCUCCCCCAAACCCAAACCCGAAUCCCAAAACAAUCCCCGUUCCCUGCCCCAAACCCAAACGGGGAUGGAGAAUUAAAACCCAAACCCGUCCCAAACGGGUUCGGGUUGGGUUCGGGUAUCCCCGCCCCGCCACCAUCCAUUUAGUAAAAUCAAUUUUUUAAUAUAAAUAUUUACUUUUUAAAAAAAUUAAAACUAUAUAUAAUAAUAAAAUAAAACAAUCUAAAAAAUUUCGUACAUACAUUUAAAUAUAUUAAAUAUUAAUACAAAUCAAAUAUUAAAACAUUGGCCACUUAUUUAAUAUUCUAAAUCAUCAAAAUAAAUAAUAGUGUACAUAAUAAAAUAAACGGGGCGGGUUCGGGGUCGGGUUCGGGGUCGGGUUCGGUGGGUACUUAGUGUCCCCAUUACCCGACCCGUCCCCAUUCUUUAUAAUCGGGGAAAACCCAAACCCAAACCCAAACCCAGUCAAAGCGGGUUUUCCCCGUCAACUUCGGGGCGGGUUCGGGUGGGUACCCGCGGGUACGGAUUAUGUUGCCAUGCCUAGUCGCCACCGAACUUUAUUUAUUCCUAAAAAGGAAAAGGGAAAUGUUGAUGAAACCCAAGAAAGAACGACAAUGAUUAUGGUCGUCGCAACCAAUAUCAGGGUUCGGAACUCGAUUACGCAAGGGGAAGGUAUUAGCAUCUCUCACGUUCGUUGUAUUCAACGGGAACCAUUAAGUUAGUUGUGUGCGUUAGUGUUAGCUUAAAAAUGUUAGGCUUCUCAAGUUAUUAUGAGGGAAAGGAUAAUAGGAUCAAAAGAAAAGAAAAGAUGUUUUUGGAUUAUUUGCAACGAAGGAGACUAAACCAAAGUUUUUUAUUAAUGGACCUGACAAGAUUUCACAAUCCUUCUCCUACGUAUCUCAAUAGAGAACUCAAGGCUUACGUAGUUCUGGAUAGAAAAAUAUUUGUUUGUUGGUCAAUUUUAGCGAAAGCAAUAUUGUAUUAAUCGAUGAAAACAUUGUUUUACCCAAAACAAAUGAGGAGUGGACGUAUACCACACAUCGAAUGGAUUUACAAAUCAACAUUCAGAAAAACGUCACUUAUCUCAACUCAAAAAUUGUGGCCAAAGCAUUGCUUUACAUCACCUUAAGACAAUGUGUCUUUCGUUUAUGAAAAGAUUUUUCUGAACAAUCGCACGGCGGCAAAGAAAAGAGUUUGAUUGGUUGGAUGUAUUUUUGGGCUUGAAAGACGAGUAUUUAUGACUUGCAAGCUCUUACAACUUGGGUCUAAUACGCGGGACUACGUUUGGACCUUUCACCCAGGUAAUCUUUUUUCUUUCAAUUUUAUUGAGAAAAGACGUUUGAAUAUUUACAAAUGUUUUGGGGAGAAGACGACUGGACAUUCCAUUCAGGGUAAUCAUUCUCUUCAGAUUUUAUUGAGAAAAAGAUUUGAACAUUGGAGUGUUUUGAAGAGAAGACGAAUACAUAGGGCUUACAAGCUCUUACAACUUGGGCCUAAUAUUCAGGAUUACGACUAAAUAUUUCAUCCAGGUAGUCUUUUUUCUUCCAACUUACUUAUAAAAAUGAUUUGAAGUGAUUUGAGGGUAAUUGAAAUGUAGAUAAAUAAAUGUGAGCACGCAAAAAGAAAAGAGUUCAUUGUAAGAAGGCCCAAGAGUAAUCCACGGGACUGAAAGGCAACCGAAAUCGAGAGUAAACUAAAUUUAGCUCUAAGCUAACUCAGAGUGGAUUCAUGUAAGGACCACUCUAUUAGAAGUCGAGCACAAAGUUUAUGCGUCUAAGCGGUUCUUGAAAGUUAAAUAGGAUUUUAACUUUGAAAUUGUAACGCAAGAAAGAUAUCAACAACCAAAAUUAUUUUACAUAAUCAUAUGAAUAAGGAUAGAGAAAUUACCUAAUUAACUUAGUACAUCGAAAUCAAUUAAGCAAACAAUCAAGUAGUCUACUUAACAAUUAAAAAUAAAUUAAUUAAUUAAAUAUUCAAAAUUCAUUAACUCAAAGAUUAAUCCCUAAAUCAAAUCAUUAAAUUGUACAUUUAAUUAAUCAAUCAAUCACCUUAAAAUGAAAAAUUAAAUGAUUAAUCAAUAUAUGAAACAAAUCAAUUAACUAAUCAAAAAAUACUUAAUCAAUUAAUUAGUUAUUAAUUAACUAAUUAAACUAACUAAGAGAAGAAAAAAAACGUAAAAAUAAAAUGAACAUGUGAUGUAUAAGAAAAUAGGCUAAUGGGCUUGUAUCUAAAUAACCAAAUAAACCAGCAACAUUGGCAUAACUUCUCAUAAAAAAUCAAUAAGUUAAAAAACUAAGAUUAUUUUGUCAAAACCAACCAUUAUGUAAAACAAAGCCAUGUGACUCAAUUUAUCAGUAAAAAUAAAUAGAAGUGAUAUAGUUUAUUUUUUAAUGAACAUCUCAUCACCUAUACGUAUAAACACAACAAUCAUGAAGAGAGAGAAAGUUCAUUUUAAACAUGAUUUACAACAAAUAUGAACAUACAUUCAAACGUGGAAAAGUAAAGAAAAAAUAACCGACCCUCUGAAACUUUGCACGACAUUGAUGAUGAACUGCGAGGGAGAGGCGUGGUGGAUGACGUACGGUUCCAAAGCGUAUUGGAUUUCGAUCUUGCGGAUCUGAAUGAAAGUGGUGCGAUUUCGGCGGAUCCGGUUGUUUGUAGUUUUGUGUUCAACGCGCAACCCAAUUUCCUUCUUUCUUCUUAAAUUUUGGAUCAGUUUUUUAUUGUUUAGGUGCUAUUAUUCUUGUGUUGAUGUUGAAAAAAUGAAAUAUGGUGAUUAUGGUGAGGUGAAAGGAGUGGACAUGAGUGUGUUUAUGGUGGGAUGUGGUUGUUGUUUGAAGAGAGGUUCGGGUGAGUGAAAAUGGAAGAGAGCAAAGUGGAUGGUGGUUCAUAUGGAGUUUUUUAGUGGUUGAAUCAAUAUUUGUUGGUGUGAGGUGUUGUUUUAAGAUGGGUCAUAGAACCUUUUUUUAUUUCAGAUGAUGAUGGUGGACGCGCAGAGCACAAAGUGUGAAACAAAAUGAGUUUUAGUGUAUAUACCCAAAUGCUCUUUUUUUCUGUUAGUUUUCCAUGCCUGCUUUUUUAUUCUUUUUUAUGUGUUUUCGAAAUCAACCAAUAAGAGGUACUUAAUGAAAUUGGCAUGCAGUUGUGUAUUCU